ACUGGCAUGUCCUAUGUAUGCUUAGAAAUGAGGAUAGUUGAUCUCACAACCACUUGUGUGGUGACACUAAUACAAGGAUAUGGGUGCUCAUUAGAGAAUGAGUUCACUGAAUAGAUCUAUGAGAGAAUAUCAGAUGGAGUCUUAUUUACAUGUCAACUAAUAAUUCUCUAGUGGGAGUUGUGUAAGUGAUCUUUUGACCUGAGAUCACCAUUGUAUCUUGUGUACAUUGAUCCAUAUUUUGGUUCACUUCUUAACUUAAUUUUUUGAUCUUUAUAUGGGGUGUUCUAGAUGUGGUGAAGUAUGAAUGGAGGUUGUGAGUGAUCAAUAAGAGAUUAGUCACUCCUAAUAAGGGGAACGAAUAUCCUAUGUGAUCUCAUAGGUUGGUGAUUUUGGAAGUCUUUGGCCAAAAUAGGAUAAUAAUUAGAAAAAAAUUUUAAUAUAUCAUCAACUGAAUCAUCACCUUCAAAUUGAGAUACAUAAAAAUAAGUGAUUGAGUUUGAUAUAUUUUCAUGCCCACAGCUCAUCUGAGAUGUUGUUUGACUGAAAGAUUGAAUUACACGAUAACUUGCCACUAAAGGAUAAUUUGAUAAUUUUAUCAAAAAUUUAAAUCUUUCAGAU
This 618-nucleotide long non-coding RNA is filed under the name Elaeis guineensis (African oil palm). RNAcentral's name for it is "long non-coding RNA (EGUI_LNC065790)". Lineage: Eukaryota; Viridiplantae; Streptophyta; Magnoliopsida; Arecales; Arecaceae. The record is from RNAcentral.